This 830-nucleotide long non-coding RNA is filed under the name Physcomitrium patens. RNAcentral describes it as "long non-coding RNA (PPAT_LNC012248)". The record is from RNAcentral. Lineage: Eukaryota; Viridiplantae; Streptophyta; Bryopsida; Funariales; Funariaceae.
UACAUGAAAGUAUUUUUUCAAAUGUAUAAUUUAUCAACUGGUUUUAUAAUUAGUUUAUUUUCAAACGAUUUCCAUAUUUAGACUUGAUAAAAACCACUCCUGUUUCACAUAUAUUUAUAUAUAAUUUUAAGGGAACAAGAGUUGGUCUAAAUAUCAUUAGUUGUAUAUUCUGACAAUUUGGAAUUUAUUGUUUGAUGGGUUUGUAACUAUUGGAGCAUGAAAAUCGCCCUCGAAUAAUUUUCGUUUAAUUGGAGGUGGCUCUGACAACAAUUAAAUAAAAACUGACACGUUGACCUUGAAAAUGAUAUAUUGACCAAGGUUGGAAGUGGAACAAUCCCAAGCACAGAAGAGAUUUUGGUUUGCUGUGUGUGUGUGUGUGUUUGUGCAUUAUCCAUGGCACCGCCGAGGAAAAUUGGUUCUAAGGAGAUGCUUAGAUGUUUGCAGGUAUUCGAACACUAAAAUAUGCAAAUAAAACAGUAGGGGUUCAAAUAUCACGAACUUCUCAUCAAUAUAUAUCCUCCCAAAGUGUAAAUAAGCUCUCUUCGAAAAGCGUUAACUCUGUCCGAGUGGUCCCCAGGGGAUUACUGCUGACUUAGCUGACCUGGCACACUCUCUCUGUCGUCCUCGAUCCUUGACCAAAAUCAAAAUUGAUGCGGAUGUACUGCUGGCACUCCCUUAAAAUAAUACUUUAUUACGAAAUUAGUAUAAAAUCUCCAUUGCGUCUUUCACUCUCUUGAACAAUAUUUUGAGAAAAUACAAAUAUUUUAAAAAAGAAAACCAAUUGAAGUAAUAAUUGUGAACAACGUAGUGGUAUUGUUAUGACAUGUCAG